UACGGAGGUGGCAAGCGUUGUUCGGAAUUACUGGGCGUAAAGGGCGCGUAGGCGGCCCGUCAAGUCCCGUGUGAAAGCCCCCGGCUCAACCGGGGAACUGCACGGGAAACUAGCAGGCUUGAGUUCGGGAGAGGGAAGCGGAAUUUCGGGUGUAGCGGUGAAAUGCGCAGAUAUCCGAAGGAACACCGGUGGCGAAGGCGGGUUCCUGGACCGACACUGACGCUGAGGCGCGAAAGCUAGGGGAGCAAACGGG
This 253-nucleotide ribosomal RNA is filed under the name uncultured bacterium. RNAcentral describes it as "partial 16S ribosomal RNA". It matches the Rfam family "Bacterial small subunit ribosomal RNA", at positions 524 to 776 of the family's 1533-position model. The record is from RNAcentral.